This 381-nucleotide ribosomal RNA is filed under the name uncultured eukaryote. Its description in RNAcentral is "partial 18S ribosomal RNA". It matches the Rfam family "Eukaryotic small subunit ribosomal RNA", at positions 592 to 975 of the family's 1831-position model. The record is from RNAcentral.
CAAUAGCGUAUAUUAAAGUUGUUGCAGUUAAAAAGCUCAUAGUUGGAUUUCUGGUUGAAGCGACCGGUCGGGCGUUGAUUCGUCUGCACUGGAGUCGGUUUUGGCCAUCCUCUAGGAAAGUGCGUCUGGUAUUAAGUUAUCGGGCGUAUGAUCCUGGUCUUUUACUGUGAAAAAAUUAGAGUGUUUAAAGCAGGCCUUCGCCUUGAAUACAUUAGCAUGGAAUAAUAAGAUAGGACUUUGGUCUAUUUUGUUGGUUUGCAGACCGAAGUAAUGAUUAAUAGGGAUAGUUGGGGGUAUUUAUAUUCCGAUGUCAGAGGUGAAAUUCUUAGAUUUUCGGAAGAUAAACUUAUGCGAAAGCAUUUACCAAGGAUGUUUUCAUUA